AUCGCUUCUCGGCCUAACGGCUAAGAUCAAAGUGUAGUAUCUGUUCUUUUCAGUUUAACAUCUGAAAUAGGCACAUAGUGCCUAAGAAUGUUAACUUGAUUUUUGCAUCUCGACGAGUGGAUCAGAAGCUUGCUUCGCCCUUGUCACGGGUUGGCUUGCCAUUGCAGUACAGGCAAGAUCGGCCCAAUAAUC
Culicoides brevitarsis is the source of this 192-nucleotide small nuclear RNA. RefSeq annotates it as U2 spliceosomal RNA. The transcript has a single exon. The record is from RefSeq and is a predicted model, not a curated record. Lineage: Eukaryota; Metazoa; Arthropoda; Insecta; Diptera; Ceratopogonidae.